RNAcentral lists this ribosomal RNA (404 nucleotides) under Paenibacillaceae bacterium CL6.7. RNAcentral's name for it is "bacterial SSU rRNA". It matches the Rfam family "Bacterial small subunit ribosomal RNA", at positions 92 to 481 of the family's 1533-position model. Lineage: Bacteria; Bacillati; Bacillota; Bacilli; Caryophanales; Paenibacillaceae. The record is from RNAcentral.
UUAGCGGCGGACGGGUGAGUAACACGUGGGUAACCUGCCUGUAAGACUGGGAUAACAUUCGGAAACGAAUGCUAAUACCGGAUACGCGAUUUGGUCGCAUGACCGAAUCGGGAAAGAUGGAGCAAUCUAUCACUUACAGAUGGACCCGCGGCGCAUUAGCUAGUUGGUGAGGUAACGGCUCACCAAGGCGACGAUGCGUAGCCGACCUGAGAGGGUGAUCGGCCACACUGGGACUGAGACACGGCCCAGACUCCUACGGGAGGCAGCAGUAGGGAAUCUUCCGCAAUGGACGAAAGUCUGACGGAGCAACGCCGCGUGAGUGAUGAAGGUUUUCGGAUCGUAAAGCUCUGUUGCCAGGGAAGAAUGCUUGGGAGAGUAACUGCUUCCCAAGGUGACGGUACCUG